AUUUUAAAGUUACCAACUGUAUUGGACAGAAGCACACCAACGUUCGCCAGAAUUCAAGGAUCCAGUGCUGGACCCUUGAAUUAUAGAUAGUUGAAUCCUUAGAGAUAGACGCAUGUUGAACUUCAAGCACUGAGAAGAGGCGAAAUUUUGUCUUUAGGACAUUGCGAAUACGCAAGCCUCUAUCUUCAAUAAAAGUCAGUAUUCUGUACUUAAUUUAUAUUUGCACAUUUAUACAGAUUUCGUACUUUUGCUACUGUUUAUAUUUUAAGAGUUGUGCAAUAAUAUAGUGAUCCUAUAGUAUAAAAUAUUUACUAAUUAUUUUCUAACACAGUGUUCACGGCCCCACUUAAUAUUUCCCCUUUCACUUUUUCAUAACAACAAUGAUCAUAUAAAACAAGCAACCCCAAGCUUAAAUCUCUGGCUUUUCUCUAUUGUUGAGAUGGGAGGUUGUUUGUUGCCCUUGUCUGUACAAAAUCCCUGCCAUUUGAUAUACAUAUAUAUUACAAGCGAUAUUGAGAAAGUGGUUUUUUUUUUAAUACAAGUGAUUAUUAGUUUUUUGACACACCAUGAAGAUUCAAAUAUGAAACUACUGAUCCGUAAGAAAAUACACUUUUUUAUUGGAUUAGACCCCGUUGGCAUCUUGCAAUUUAAUUAGUUGAGUUUCACAUAUCAAAGUUUAUUUCUAAUCACAAAAUAUUUUCAGCAUGCGAAUGUAAUGGUUUCAAGGUUUUGGUAAACUGGGACCACACUUUUUUGAACUUUGUAUUUGGGCUGCAAAAAAGUCCCCCCAAGAAUACUCCUUUUUGUUAGACAACUGAGAGAUUGAGCCCAAAUAGAAACUUAUAGCAUAUGGUAUGUUGUAAUUGGACAAAACAUGUUACUCAUUGUGUCACGUGACAAGUUAAUCUCUAUUGAAGUAGUAAACUAGUAGUGCAUGCGUUAGAGGUAUUGUAAGAUCAUAUUAAAUAUUUCCAAGAUAGAUAAUUAUGCAGGAAAUCAUUGUCCUAAUUACCCCAUCAAAUCCGAAUUUUCAUUAUCACAUUAAAUCUUAAGUCUUCUAGCACGUGCAUCACGGAUGCCAAUUAGGGGUGGACAUGAGUUGAAUUGAGUCGGUUUUGGUCCCAAUUCAUAUAUAGCGGUUUAUGAUUUAUUGGACUCAAAAUCCGCUUAUUAUUAAGCCAACCCAACCCUUUUAUGAUCGAGUUAACUCAAAAUUAAGUUAUUUUUAAAUUUUGGUUCCAACUCAUGCAUAGCGGUUUAUGAUUUCUUGGACCUAAUACUAGCUUAUUAUCAGACCAAUUCAACCCAACCCAACCAUCUAAUGAUUGAGUUGAUCCAAAAUUGUUCCCACGCCUAAUGCCAAUUGGCUUUUUAUUUAUUGAGAAAUUAUAUUUUCAUAAAUUGUUUUAUUUCUUAACAUUUUGAUUAAUUAAUGGUAUUAUUUAGAUUAUAUAUAGAUGACAUAAUAUCCUUCAACUAGUUAUCAAAUCAAUUCACCCAUAGUUUUUUGGAAUAAAAUGCACUUUUAACCGGAUGAAAUAUGCAUGGUAUAUGUACAAUGUAAAAAGAAAAGGCAAUAAUUUCAUCAACAAAAAAAGAAGAAGAAAAGGCAAUAAACUGAAAUACAUCCUCGAACUCUCCAAGCAACUUCCAUGUAAAAGGAAGAAGAAAAAAUUACAUAGAAUCUCCAUAUCGUUACAAUUAAUGGUGUUAAUAAUACUUCUUGCGACCUAAAUCUAAAUGGCAUACUCGUUCGAUAUUUACAGCAACAUUUUUUUCAAAACUUUGGGUAAGAUGAUGCACUGAUUUCAUAUACCCGUCAACGUUUUGGUCAUGUAAAAGUUGAUGAUGAAAUUGGAUGCACUGAUUUCUGUUGUGCCUCAGCCUCAAAUUUAAACAAGCAUUCUUUUCUUCUAAUUCUUUGAUCCUUUUUAAAUUGCAAGCCAUGCUCUUACCAAGAGAAGCAAGACGACAAUGCAGCCGGUCUAUCACAAAGGCAAGCAAUAGAGACAACACAAUGAGAGUGGUUUCAGGACUCAAAUGGCCCAUCAUCCCACGCUUCUGAAUCAUCACGAGAAAGAUGAUAUUCCCCACGAGUUUCAGCAUAGCGGUCCCCUAGCAGCUGCGGUUGAUCUCAUCGAGGCUCGACAUCUUCGUCUUUUUUAAAGGCGCUUCG
This 2176-nucleotide long non-coding RNA is filed under the name Prunus dulcis (almond). RNAcentral's name for it is "sRNA ncRNA". The record is from RNAcentral. Lineage: Eukaryota; Viridiplantae; Streptophyta; Magnoliopsida; Rosales; Rosaceae.